RNAcentral lists this ribosomal RNA (432 nucleotides) under uncultured bacterium. RNAcentral's name for it is "bacterial SSU rRNA". It matches the Rfam family "Bacterial small subunit ribosomal RNA", at positions 958 to 1393 of the family's 1533-position model. The record is from RNAcentral.
AACGCGAAGAACCUUACCUAGACUUGACAUCUCCUGAAUUACCUUUAAUCGGGGAAGUCCCUUCGGGGACAGGAAGACAGGUGGUGCAUGGUUGUCGUCAGCUCGUGUCGUGAGAUGUUGGGUUAAGUCCCGCAACGAGCGCAACCCUUAUUGUUAGUUGCUACCAUUUAGUUGAGCACUCUAGCGAGACUGCCCGGGUUAACCGGGAGGAAGGUGGGGAUGACGUCAAAUCAUCAUGCCCCUUAUGUCUAGGGCUACACACGUGCUACAAUGGCCGGUACAAAGAGAUGCUAAACCGUGAGGUGGAGCUAAACUAUAAAACCGGUCUCAGUUCGGAUUGUAGGCUGAAACUCGCCUACAUGAAGCUGGAGUUGCUAGUAAUCGCGAAUCAGCAUGUCGCGGUGAAUACGUUCCCGGGUCUUGUACACACGC